Molecule: ribosomal RNA, 452 nt
Filed under: uncultured bacterium
Lineage: Bacteria
Description: bacterial SSU rRNA
Rfam family: Bacterial small subunit ribosomal RNA
Source: RNAcentral
UACGGAAGGCAGCAGUGGGGAAUAUUGCACAAUGGGCGCAAGCCUGAUGCAGCCAUGCCGCGUGUAUGAAGAAGGCCUUCGGGUUGUAAAGUACUUUCAGCGGGGAGGAAGGCGAUGCGGUUAAUAACCGCGUCGAUUGACGUUACCCGCAGAAGAAGCACCGGCUAACUCCGUGCCAGCAGCCGCGGUAAUACGGAGGGUGCAAGCGUUAAUCGGAAUUACUGGGCGUAAAGCGCACGCAGGCGGUCUGUUAAGUCAGAUGUGAAAUCCCCGGGCUUAACCUGGGAACUGCAUUUUGAAACUGGCAGGCUUGAGUCUUGUAGAGGGGGUAGAAUUCCAGGUGUAGCGGUGAAAUGCGUAGAGAUCUGGAGGAAUACCGGUGGCGAAGGCGGCCCCUGGACAAGACUGACGCUCAGGUGCGAAAGCGUGGGGAGCAAACAGGAUUAGAUACC